GACGAACGCUGGCGGCGUGCUUAACACAUGCAAGUCGAACGGAAAGGCCCUGCUUUUGUGGGGUGCUCGAGUGGCGAACGGGUGAGUAACACGUGAGUAACCUGCCCUUGACUUUGGGAUAACUUCAGGAAACUGGGGCUAAUACCGGAUAGGAGCUCCUGCUGCAUGGUGGGGGUUGGAAAGUUUCGGCGGUUGGGGAUGGACUCGCGGCUUAUCAGCUUGUUGGUGGGGUAGUGGCUUACCAAGGCUUUGACGGGUAGCCGGCCUGAGAGGGUGACCGGCUACAUUGGGACUGAGAUACGGACCAGACUCCUACGGGAGGCAGCAGUGGGGAAUAUUGCACAAUGGGCGGAAGCCUGAUGCAGCAACGCCGCGUGCGGGAUGACGGCCUUCGGGUUGUAAACCGCUUUCGCCUGUGACGAAGCGUGAGUGACGGUAAUGGGUAAAGAAGCACCGGCUAACUACGUG
This 468-nucleotide ribosomal RNA is filed under the name uncultured bacterium. Its description in RNAcentral is "partial 16S ribosomal RNA". It matches the Rfam family "Bacterial small subunit ribosomal RNA", at positions 28 to 507 of the family's 1533-position model. The record is from RNAcentral.